This 515-nucleotide long non-coding RNA is filed under the name Homo sapiens (human). RNAcentral describes it as "non-protein coding lnc-PKP4-6:1". The record is from RNAcentral. Lineage: Eukaryota; Metazoa; Chordata; Mammalia; Primates; Hominidae.
AUGGCUCAAAUGAACUGUCCAGCUCCUGUGGAAGUCACAUACAAGAACAUGAGGAUUUCUUACUACACACAACCCAACCAAUGUGACCUUAAACAAAUUCGUAGAGGAACUUAAGAAGUAUGGAGUUUUCACAAUAGAUAAGAGUAUGUAAAGCAACUUAUGACACUACUCUUCUGGAGAAAGAAGGUACCCAUGUUCUCGAUAGGCCUUUUGAUGAUGGUGCACCACCAUCCAACCAGAUUGAUGACUGGUUAAGUCUUGUGAAAAUUAAGUUUCAUAAAGAACCUCAUUGUUGUACUGCUGUUCAUUGCAUUGCAGGCCUUGGGAGAGCUCCAGUACUUGUUGCCCUAGCAUUAAUUGAAGGCAAAAUGAAAGAUGAUGAUGCAGUACAAUUCGCAAGAAAAAAGCAGUAUGGAGCUUUUAACAGCAAGUUAACUUUUGUAUUUGGAGAAGUAUCAUCCUUAAAGAUGUGGCUGCACUUCAAAGACUCCAGUGGUCAUAGAUACAACUGUUGC